GACGAACGCUGGCGGCGUGCUUAACACAUGCAAGUCGAACGGAAAGGCCCUGCUUUUGUGGGGUGCUCGAGUGGCGAACGGGUGAGUAACACGUGAGUAACCUGACCUUGACUUUGGGAUAACUUCAGGAAACUGGGCUAAUACCGGAUAGGAGCUCCUGCUGCAUGGUGGGGGUUGGAAAGUUUCGGCGGUUGGGGAUGGACUCGCGGCUUAUCAGCUUGUUGGUGGGGUAGUGGCUUACCAAGGCUUUGACGGGUAGCCGGCCUGAGAGGGUGACCGGCCACAUUGGGACUGAGAUACGGCCCAGACUCCUACGGGAGGCAGCAGUGGGGAAUAUUGCACAAUGGGCGGAAGCCUGAUGCAGCAACGCCGCGUGCGGGAUGACGGCCUUCGGGUUGUAAACCGCUUUCGCCUGUGACGAAGCGUAAGUGACGGUAAUGGGUAAAGAAGCACCGGCUAACUACGUG
RNAcentral lists this ribosomal RNA (467 nucleotides) under uncultured bacterium. RNAcentral describes it as "partial 16S ribosomal RNA". It matches the Rfam family "Bacterial small subunit ribosomal RNA", at positions 28 to 507 of the family's 1533-position model. The record is from RNAcentral.